This 361-nucleotide ribosomal RNA is filed under the name Draculoides sp. SCH082. Its description in RNAcentral is "partial small subunit ribosomal RNA". Lineage: Eukaryota; Metazoa; Arthropoda; Arachnida; Schizomida; Hubbardiidae. The record is from RNAcentral.
UAAUGAAAGAAUUAAAUUAAAAUUUUAUUUGUUUUUCAUAAUUAAUUUGAGAAGUAUUGGCGGUAUUAUGGAUAAAUUCUGAGGAACUUGUUUAUUUAAAUUGAUAUUACACGUUAAAUUUUAUCUGUAAUUUUUUUUAUAUAUUGCUGUUUAAUUUAUUAUUUAUUAUAUUAAAAUAAAUUGAAGAAACAUUAUAGUGUAAAUAUAUCAAGUCAAAAUGUAGAUUUUUACAGGGUUAAAUGAGUUACAUUUAUAUUGAAAUAUGAUACUGUAAAGUAAAUUGAAAUAUUUAUGAGUUGAAUGUUGGAUUAGGGUGUAAAAAUAAAUUAAUAAGUUUUUUUGAUAAAUUAUUCCGGUAUGU